CUCAAAGUCAGAUGUUCCGAGUUGACCAACUUCUGCAGUAUGCAAUACAAGAAUUAUUCACCACUUCUCCACCAUUUGGAUGGAAUGCAAUCAAAGUAGUGACACCAGCUACAAUACUUGUUUAUGUCAAUGCCAUGCAGAACUGCCAUUAUAAUUCCUGCAAGC
Solanum tuberosum (potato) is the source of this 165-nucleotide long non-coding RNA. RefSeq lists it as uncharacterized. NCBI's taxonomy places the organism in Eukaryota, Viridiplantae, Streptophyta, Magnoliopsida, Solanales, Solanaceae. The transcript has 2 exons. The record is from RefSeq and is a predicted model, not a curated record.